GACGAACGCUGGCGGCGUGCUUAACACAUGCAAGUCGAACGGAAAGGCCCUGCUUUUGUGGGGUGCUCGAGUGGCGAACGGGUGAGUAACACGUGAGUAACCUGCCCUUGACUUUGGGAUAACUUCAGGAAACUGGGGCUAAUACCGGAUAGGAGCUCCUGCUGCACGGUGGGGGUUGGAAAGUUUCGGCGGUUGGGGAUGGACUCGCGGCUUAUCAGCUUGAUGGUGGGGUAGUGGCUUACCAAGGCUUUGACGGGUAGCCGGCCUGAGAGGGUGACCGGGCACAAUGGGACUGAGGUAGGGACCAGUAUCGUACGGGAGGCAGCAGUGGGAAAUAUUGCACAAUAGGCGGAAGCCUGAUGCAGCAGCGCCGCGUGCGGAAUAACGGCCUUCGGGUUGUAAACCGCUUUCGCCUGAGACGAAGCGUGAGUGACGGUAAUGGGUAAGGAAGCACCGGCUAACUACGUG
This 468-nucleotide ribosomal RNA is filed under the name uncultured bacterium. Its description in RNAcentral is "partial 16S ribosomal RNA". It matches the Rfam family "Bacterial small subunit ribosomal RNA", at positions 28 to 507 of the family's 1533-position model. The record is from RNAcentral.